Molecule: ribosomal RNA, 484 nt
Filed under: uncultured bacterium
Lineage: Bacteria
Description: partial 16S ribosomal RNA
Rfam family: Bacterial small subunit ribosomal RNA
Source: RNAcentral
AUUGAACGAUGGCGGCAGGACUAACACAUGCAAGUAGAGCGGAUGAAGGGAGCUUGCUCCUGGAUUCAGCGGCGGACGGUUGAGUAAUGCCUAGGAAACUGCAUGGUAGUGGGGGAUAACGUCCGGAAACGGGCGCUAAUACCGCAUACGUCCUGAGGGAGGAAGUGGGGGAUCUUCGGACCUCACGCUAUCAGAUGAGCCUAGGUCGGAUUAGCUAGUUGGUGGGGUAAAGGCCUACCAAGGCGACGAUCCGGAACUGGUCUGAGAGGAUGAUCAGUCACACUGGAACUUAGACACGGUCCAUACUCCUACGGGAGGCAGCAGUGGGGAAUAUUGGACAAUGGGCGAAAGCCUGAUCCAGCCAUGCCGCGUGUGUGAAGAAGGUCUUCGGAUUGUAAAGCACUUUAAGUUGGGAGGAAGGGCAGUAAGUUAAUACCUUGCUGUGUUGACGUUACCAACAGAAUAAGCACCGGCUAACUUCGUG